GCUCUCGAGCGCCUGAAGUUCACGCUUGAUGCCCCCUAAAUUUCCAACCUUUCCCAGUGCUUGAGUAAUCAGAUUGGCAAGGACGCUUCCACCAAUGCUGAUGACAGCUUCUGUCAUAUUUGUUCUCUCUAUCUCUCUUUCUCUAUGGGGUUGAGAAGAUUUUAGUCCUGUCGUUCCGAGGCUAGCGUCUUCUUAGAUGAUGUAUAAAAAGUCUGUCCUUGAGAUUAAAUGAGUGUACAAUAAUAGUAGAUAAUAGAAAAUAUUUAACUGACAAGCAGUAAUUCCAAAGCAUCCUAUGUCAUGUAAGAUUCCAUCCCAUCUAAUAAGUAAGGCGAGUUCCUAUUCAUACAUUCUUCUAGAAACAUUAUGUUAGAUUAUCUUAGAUUGAUUAAGUUUUUUUUUCUACCAUACCAUUAAGUAAUAUGUCUAAUUAACAUUAAGGAAAUUGGGAGGUAAUUGAGUGAUGAUGUGGUUCGACCGUUAAGCUCCAUUUUGCUGGACUUUCUUCUUAGUUUGGUUUUAAUAUAUGAUGCGUAAUAAAUUAAAACAAAACAAGGUAAUCACAAUGAUCAUAGGCUUUUUAAAAAAUAAAAUUAAUUUUGUGCUUUCUUAUGUAAAAUUCAAAAUGUUAUUUAAAUAUAAAAAGUCAUUAUUCAAAUUACAUAUUAAUGUUUACGUGUUGUGAAAAUUUCAUAUGUUUAAAGACAAAAUAAUGUAAAAUGUAGACUGAGACAACAUUAGAAGAAACAAAAAUAAAAUGUAAAAAUCUAUCAAGACAAGCCAUGAGCUAAGUUGGUGAUGCUCUUGAAAUCCGCUAGAGGUGUUGGACCAUGUCGUUGUCCUUUGUACUUGUUAUCUUUUCUUUUUUCCUUACUUUUUCUCUUUUUGGGCGAACAGAAAGUGUAAGGUAACAUGAUGUUGAAGCAAAGCCACAAUUUUUCACUUCAUUGGCCGACAAAAUGAGAAUCAGAAUCCACUUACAAGGGCUACACUACAUCCACCACAAUCUGCUCAAGCCCGGAAACCAUCUCAUUGCAGCUUAGAAAGUUAUCAUAGCUGUCUCGACAAGGGCAGCAGCAUAGGGAAUGCCCCGAUGGAUGCCCACUCUCUAGUGUUCAGUGGACAAGAUUAGCUUAUGCUCGGUGAUAAAAUGUUGUACUUUGCAAGACCGUACGUGUCAGAGAACAAGACAAAUGAAGAUAUUGAGUCUUAAGGUCUAGCGUCCCUGUCAAUUUGUGCACAAUCUCUUUUGAACUCUUUACCAAGCCCCUUUUCUUAUUAGUGUUGAACUCAAGUUCUUCUAAAUCACAUCCAACAAGUAAGAUAAAUGUGUUCCAAUAUAUGACCUAUUCCACACGAAGAAAAAGUACAUAAAAUGGCGAUCAUUUUGAAUCAGGUCCAAAUUUAUGAGUAAUAGCACGAGUCUUAACAUGAUCCUAAAUAUUUCACGAAACAUUUGGCAAGAUGCUUGAGAUCUUUAAUAAGGAUAGCAGGUGUUGCACGUUCUUAUUCACUUAUAAUCACAAUUAGUUGUUGUAUUUGGUCACUUCCCCUUCCAUGUUAGUUGCAUGUUCAUAAUUUCUAUGGAUGCCGAUUCAAUUAUAUUUAAUUCCAUUUCUUUCUAACCGCCCCUUGCUCUGCCAGGAUUUUCAAAAGAAAUCAUGUGACUCUUAGUAUGUACGUAGCGAGUAAUUUUUCAUGUGACCAGUAACUUUUUACAAGAUAUUCGACUUCCAAUAUAUAAAUAAAUACUCACCUAUUUACAUUAUUAAUAAUUUUUUACAUAAAAGGUAACCUAUCUACAUUGAUUCUUAUCGUCCCAUGUAUUUUUUUUUAAAAAGGACAAGUUUGAAAAAAAAUUGAUGCUUUUUGCAACGUAACAGUAAAUCUUAAUUUGUAAGACCAAAAAUUUACAUGAAGUUUGUAACCUAUUCAUGGGAUGAGUAAGUUUUGCUUUAAAAAAGUAAUUACCACCGACCCUGUUUAAUAAAAGAAAAUAUAGGAAUUGACAAACAAUAUGUAAGCCGCCCACGGUCUAGAAAGUGAAAAUUAAAGUUUUUUUUUUUCUCAGCAGCUGUAAAUGAAAAUUUCUCCCAAGGGGGCUAAAGAACAAAUGAGCCCGGCUUUUUUCUGAUGAUGCCCAUUUUCCUAGUUUCAUCACAUGCUUUCCUUAGAAAACAGUGCACGUCCACAUGCUUUCCUUAGAAAACAGUGCACGUUCACCUGCUUAGAAAACAGUGCAUGUCCACAUGCUUUCCUUAGAAAACAGUGCACGUUCACAUGCUUUCCUUUUAAUACGGUGCCGGUUCACAUGCAUGCCUCAGUUGUUUUGUAGUAAACACCGGAGUAUUAAGAUUAAUAUAACUUGGAUCUUGAGAAGACGGAAAAUUAUCAUAGCUGCGGGGGCAACUUAAAAUCUAACUUCACAUGGUAAAAAAAAUUUAUGUUAAUGAAUUUCCGCUUUUGUCCGAAUAAAAAACUGAAGAAAAGAUUAUGAAGUAUAAAUUGUGAAUGAAGUAGUAUGAAACCUUUGUGUGCAAAAAAGAAAUUGCAGAUUGGUAUAGAAGUACGAUGUGCAGUGGGAUGACAAAAAAGCAAGCUGAUGAGGAUGCUUUUCAACUUUAGAUUUUAAUAUGCGGAAUGGUAGAACGGCUCUUAAAGUUGGCUAAUCUUCUCUUGUGAAUUCCAUUUAGAAUUGGAAAUUGGGACAUGUUACAUCUUCUUAUGUGCCCAAUUUGAAGAAGGUUAAAUAUCCUAAAUAUGAAAAUCUUUACACCAUAUAAAUCAUAUUUCUAAAUCCAAAUAAAAGACGUCGAUAGUUUCCCUAAACAUUCUUUGUUUCAUCAAUCUAUUCAUUUUCAGAAAAGCUCUCUGGUUAGUCGCUAUAAGAAAGAACGAACCUGGCUAAUAGUGGGCUGAUCGACGGCCGACCAACAAAGGCGAGGCCCCAACCGGCCAGAUCAAGAGAGGAGGACAGGAGACGGUGUCAGCAAGAUCAAGAGAGAGAUGAGAUGAGACAAGACGGCAUGGGCAAAGACUCCAGGAAUAGAGAGAUCAAUGGCAUUGCUGGGGAAAGUCGAGAGACGAAGAGUCUGAGAGAGAGGCUAGCAAUGGGAGUGGGAACUAAAAGAGAGUAGCGAGGGUCUUUAAAUAUAAAAGAUUUAGCACU
RNAcentral lists this long non-coding RNA (3169 nucleotides) under Eucalyptus grandis. RNAcentral's name for it is "long non-coding RNA (EGRA_LNC000633)". Lineage: Eukaryota; Viridiplantae; Streptophyta; Magnoliopsida; Myrtales; Myrtaceae. The record is from RNAcentral.